AGACAAGAAACAGUCACAGACAGACACAGAACACAGACCGAGACCCAGACACAAAGAUACCAGUGCCAGACAUAAACGCGGACCGACACAGAUACCCAGUGAGUACGAUACCGCACAGAGAUGUUGAUGACGUGACAGUUGACCGAUGAUGACUGAAUAUGACACAGAGAACCUCGGAAGAAGGUACCAACGAGAGAGAGAUCAAUACAGAUUCUCACAGACCUGGAUGAGAACUGCACAUAUCGAUUGUUGUCACACCACCAUUGUGGCCAUCAAUGUUACGUCAUCGACAAACAUGGCCAGGGUUGAUAACGACUUGAUGACAUGGCAAUCAGGGAAUUUCGGAUAAUGACACAGAGCCCAAACCUGUUUGGAUGGUUUGUGACACGCGCUGCCCAAAGACUCAGAAUAGCACAGAGAUAUCCAGUGAGUACUAUUCGAACAGAGAGUUGACGCCGCAAUUGCAGGUUAGAUACAGAAGUACUUACACGGACAUUUCGGAAACGGUACACGCUGGGCUUUCGGAUUUGACACUGGUUGAUACUGAGACAAACCCGUGCCACAGACUAAGAGGCCCCUUGUUAGAGUCCAUGUUUUAUGCCCAUGUGAUGUGGCCGUUGGUGGGAUGACUCAUCUGCUGGUCCGUGAGCCCCACCUAGUGUUUACUACACGGACACAUCAUUUGUAAAAUGGUAAUCUUGCUGACAUGAAGCAGAUAUCAUUUUACAAAUGAUGUGUCCUGCACUACCCCCAAGUGCAACGACAGCUGCCUCAUAGUUCACGGCUAGAUCAUCUGUCAGUGCACUGACUCCAGUGAGUGCUACCGUUCCUAAUGGUAGCUUCAUGGGAGAUGGUGACACAUCCUACACCAGCAUUACGCCUGGUGACUGAAUGGAACGGUCCACCAGACCAAAUCAGCAGUGUUGGUCCCAGGAGAUUGACGAUUAUCUUUUGGUACUGCUUUCAACUCCAUUUACGCCAUAAUUCUGGCAUUACCAAGGUUACUUCAACUUCACCAUAGCCUCAGCACACGAAGCCUCCCCACGCGAUCUCCCGGCACACCCAGCAACCACCGUUCAAAAACUGCAGCUCAAUUUGCCCACACCUGUAUAUUUCAGGGAGCUCCCUUUCUACCUCGAUACAACCGUGCGGCUCUGAAAUUGUCGGGAUAGGGGGUGAGUUUUCGACAGAAAAAAAUAAUAAAAAAAAAGCAAAAAAACCUGAAAUUCACAGCUCCUGAUAACAAUGAUAUCAUUUUUGUAGCUGUAGAAAGAGCUUCAAAAUUUCAUAGAAUAUGAGAAGACGACUAACGACA
Molecule: unclassified non-coding RNA, 1315 nt
Filed under: Yarrowia lipolytica
Lineage: Eukaryota; Fungi; Ascomycota; Dipodascomycetes; Dipodascales
Source: RNAcentral